RNAcentral lists this unclassified non-coding RNA (378 nucleotides) under uncultured Mycobacteriaceae bacterium. RNAcentral describes it as "contains 16S-23S intergenic spacer region". Lineage: Bacteria; Bacillati; Actinomycetota; Actinomycetes; Mycobacteriales; Mycobacteriaceae. The record is from RNAcentral.
UCCGGUUUGUCACCGGCAGUCUCCCGUGAGUCCCCGCCAUAACGUGCUGGCAACAUGAGACAAGGGUUGCGCUCGUUGCGGGACUUAACCCAACAUCUCACGACACGAGCUGACGACAGCCAUGCACCACCUGCACACAGGCCACAAGGGAACCGACAUCUCUGCCGGCGUCCUGUGCAUGUCAAACCCAGGUAAGGUUCUUCGCGUUGCAUCGAAUUAAUCCACAUGCUCCGCCGCUUGUGCGGGCCCCCGUCAAUUUCUUUGAGUUUUAGCCUUGCGGCCGUACUCCCCAGGCGGGGUACUUAAUGCGUUAGCUACGGCACGGAUCCCAAGGAAGGAAACCCACACCUAGCGCCCACCGUUUACAGCAUGGACUAC